UGGGUCUAAUGUUUUUCUUAACUUGAUGACAAUAUCUUCAAGAUGGAUGCUGUUCGUGCUGAGUUACCUCUGAACCUUGACAAAUCAAAACAUGUAGAUCAGGGGAAGUCAACUACAAAACGAGUAAAAAAGAGUAGAAAGGUUAAGGAUUAUACGGAAAAAAUCAGGACAAGUGAUGGAUAUUUAUUCUAUGCCCCAAGGUCGUAUGUGAGAACCAUGCUUAAGGGCAAGUUUCAGAAGAAAACAGAUUGAAGCACUCGAACAACAAAAUGAAUCUUCGGAACCUGCUUCUCUGGUGGUUACUGCUGCUCUACCAUCUCCUCCAGCCUCUGCCUAAUUAGAAGCAGAAGAAAGAGCUGAUUGAUAGAACAAUCUAACUUAAUGUCUUAAUUUGGUCUGUCAUGGUGGUGUUUGUAGCAUAUGUGAUCUAUCUGUGAGACUUAAUCUUUUAUGCUGAAUAAACUAGGCAGUGAAUCUAACGAAGUCUUGAACCCUUAUGUAGUGUAUUGCAGUUAGACAGGGUUCCCGAGCAUCAUGUAAGGUACUGAACAACACUCUAUUUGAUGUACCUCUGUAGUGAUUACUGUUAGUUUAAUCUCAGAUUGAUUUUCUAUUAAAUAUUUGGGAGAGUGGUCUAUUAGUUCUAA
Long non-coding RNA from Papaver somniferum (opium poppy), 647 nucleotides. RefSeq lists it as uncharacterized. The transcript has 3 exons. NCBI's taxonomy places the organism in Eukaryota, Viridiplantae, Streptophyta, Magnoliopsida, Ranunculales, Papaveraceae. The record is from RefSeq and is a predicted model, not a curated record.